Marinobacter sp. ELB17 is the source of this 96-nucleotide non-coding RNA. Lineage: Bacteria; Pseudomonadati; Pseudomonadota; Gammaproteobacteria; Pseudomonadales; Marinobacteraceae. The record is from Rfam.
CGCCGAUAGGGGUAACCCCGCCGGUGAUUGAGCAGAAGUCAGCAGACGGCAUAGUAGCCAAACGCCCAUCGUAAUGGUUGGGACAGGGUGAAGGCC